UACAGAGGUCUCGAGCGUUAGGCGGAAUCACUGGGCUUAAAGCGUGUGUAGGUGGAUGCCUAAGUACCUUGUGAAAUCCCACAGCUUAACUGUGGAACUGCUUGGUAUACUGGGUGUCUUGAGUCACUCAGGGGCGAGCGGAACAAAUGGUGGAGCGGUGAAAUGCGUAGAUAUCAUUUGGAACGCCAAUGGUGAAAACAGCUCGCUGGGGGUGUACUGACACUGAGACACGAAAUCCAGGGGAGCGAACGGG
RNAcentral lists this ribosomal RNA (253 nucleotides) under uncultured bacterium. RNAcentral's name for it is "partial 16S ribosomal RNA". It matches the Rfam family "Bacterial small subunit ribosomal RNA", at positions 524 to 776 of the family's 1533-position model. The record is from RNAcentral.